AUACGUAGGGUGCGAGCGUUGUCCGGAAUUACUGGGCGUAAAGAGCUCGUAGGUGGUUUGUCGCGUCGUCUGUGAAAUUCCGGGGCUUAACUCCGGGCGUGCAGGCGAUACGGGCAUAACUUGAGUACUGUAGGGGAGACUGGAAUUCCUGGUGUAGCGGUGAAAUGCGCAGAUAUCAGGAGGAACACCGGUGGCGAAGGCGGGUCUCUGGGCAGUAACUGACGCUGAGGAGCGAAAGCAUGGGUAGCGAACAGGAUUAGAUGCCCUGGUAGUCCAUGCCGUAAACGGUGGGCGCUAGGUGUAGGGGUCUUCCACGACUUCUGUGCCGUAGCUAACGCAUUAAGCGCCCCGCCUGGGGAGUACGGCCGCAAGGCUAAAACUCAAAUGAAUUGACGGGG
This 398-nucleotide ribosomal RNA is filed under the name uncultured bacterium. Its description in RNAcentral is "partial 16S ribosomal RNA". It matches the Rfam family "Bacterial small subunit ribosomal RNA", at positions 523 to 918 of the family's 1533-position model. The record is from RNAcentral.